Chlorocebus sabaeus (green monkey) is the source of this 1333-nucleotide long non-coding RNA. RefSeq lists it as uncharacterized. The record is from RefSeq and is a predicted model, not a curated record. NCBI's taxonomy places the organism in Eukaryota, Metazoa, Chordata, Mammalia, Primates, Cercopithecidae.
GGUGAAAAUAUAGGAGAUGACGAUCCAUUCCUGGGUGGACGGCCAGCGUUCCAUCUUCACUAACACGAUAUAGUUGAAGAGCAUCAGGCCCAGUGACAUGCACAUUCUUCCAGAACCUCUGCAUUUUAGUACCCACUUCACACUUUGAAUUUGAAUCCUCUCCAGCCAGAUACCUGAAAUAGGCUCCCAACACAAGCAGGGUCGAGGAGCCAGCUGGACCCCUGCCUGCUUUCUUCUCGGACCAGAAGAGGACCCAACCUACUCCUAGAGAAACUUGCUACAAUGCAGAAGUGAGGUUACAUGGAAAUGAGGUGUGUCCUACCUUUCAGAAACUUGGGAGAGUAGGACAGACCAUUUUUGGAAAUCUGGUGAGAAAUACUCUUACAGAGAAAAACACAGCCCAAAGUACCUGGGACCUUCAAUCUGAAACUGAAUUGUAUUGUUAGGCAUCUCUGGUGAUUCAAAAGACUGGCAUACCUCAUAUCCGAUCACUUCCUCGAGGCCUGGGCUUUGUCAAUACGUGACGAUGAAUUUUGGAGAAUCAUGAAAACACAACUGAACGAAUCUGGGGGAUCCAGUCUGAUGGAUUUGCUGAGGCCAAGUCAGCCAUGCAGAAGAGUGCUGGACACACAGGCCCCACCCCCCAAAGAGAUAGCCUCCCAACAAGCUGCCAAUGACAUAAGCAAAGCAGCGUGUCUCAAGCAUCUCUAAUCACAAGUUUCGCCUGGGAAGCUGGUUAAACUAACACAGCCUCUUAGGCUCCUUUAUGAAGAUUUGAUUCCAUGGGUCUAUGAUGGGGCUAGAAAUUUGCAUUUCUAACAAAACGCCCUUGUCAUCAUGGAAGUUUUAGAAAUGUUGAUACUAUUACGUCUACUGAUUUCUGCUCUCAGCAGUCUGUAAACUUUUUCUGCAAAUGGCCAACUGGUUAACUUUUAAGGCUUUGUAGACCUGAUAGUCUCUCUCUGUCUCUCACCACUCAUUAACUCGAUGUGGUAGCACAAAAGCAGGCAGCCUACUGGUAAUGUUAACUGAGGUUUAGCCUAAAGCUGCCUCCUUACAUAUUUUAAGUUCAGCCUAAAGUUUUCUCUGUACGUUGUGAACUAUAACAAAUGAAGGUGUAACAAGACCAAUCACUGAAUUUCAGUCAAUCAAAUGUAGCCAACUGCUCAAAAUGUGUUCACAAAAGGCAAAUGCUGAGCUGUAACCAAUCCAGCUGUUUGUGUAUGUCACUUCCAUUUUCGUAUGCCACUUCCCUUUUUCUGUCCAUAAAUCUUCCACCACGUGGCCCUGCUGGAAUCCCUGAGCCUCCUCUGGCUUGGAAGGCUGUCCCAUU